AUAUCAAUAAGCGGAGGAAAAGAAACCAACAGGGAUUGCCUUAGUAACGGCGAGUGAAGCGGCAAUAGCUCAAAUUUGGAAUCUGGCUCUUUCAGAGUCCGAGUUGUAGUUUGUAGAGGAAGCUUCGGCAGAAUUAGGCUGCAGUUAAAGUUCCUUGGAACAGGAAGUCAGAGAGGGUGAGAAUCCCGUUUAUGACUGAACUUUGCCCUGCCAUAUGUAGCUCCUUCGACGAGUCGAGUUGUUUGGGAAUGCAGCUCUAAAUGGGUGGUAAAUUUCAUCUAAAGCUAAAUAUUGGCCAGAGACCGAUAGCGCACAAGUAGAGUGAUCGAAAGAUGAAAAGCACUUUGGAAAGAGAGUUAAACAGUAC
Molecule: ribosomal RNA, 367 nt
Filed under: uncultured fungus
Lineage: Eukaryota; Fungi
Description: eukaryotic LSU rRNA
Rfam family: Eukaryotic large subunit ribosomal RNA
Source: RNAcentral